This 669-nucleotide long non-coding RNA is filed under the name Mytilus galloprovincialis (Mediterranean mussel). Lineage: Eukaryota; Metazoa; Mollusca; Bivalvia; Mytilida; Mytilidae. The record is from RNAcentral.
AUUGCAUUAAAAAAUCAACCAUACUUCUUUUAUAUUUGUUUGAUCGUUUGAGACCUUAUUUAGGAAUAACCUAUACGAUAUGAUGUAGAAAACAACAUUUGUCUUCUGUCAUCAAAAAGGUCAUUCCAGGAUUUGUCCAUACGGUGAAAUAAAACUAUGUUUGGUUUUGUAAUUGAACGGCAGGAAAAUCCUACUACCUUUGAUAUUGUUUGAGUUACUGACCUUAUUGCGAAAGACCACAAGUAUCAUUUGAGAUUCGACGUUCGAUCAAGACUGAUUUUUUCAAUUUCAAUUUCAAAACAUGAAAUUUUUAUGAUUUAUGUCUCAUUUAGAAUUUCUUGAUUUGAAAUGCAAUAUCAGAAUUCGAAAAUCAUUAUCUAAGCAUUUGGAUGAAAUCAUUUUAAAGUUGUUGAGCUGUUAGUUAUAGACAAUGAAAUGUCUUGUAACAAUUAGAUGACUCCGAGUAUAGGUCUAAAUAUAAAAAUAAGAUACCAUUGUCAAUGAGACAACUUUUCAACAAAGACUGAAUGGCAUUGAAGUUACCAGCUGUGUGGCUUCCAACAAUGAGAAAAAACUGUACUACACAGCAAGCUAUAAAAAGCCGUGACAUGCAUAAUGUAGAACAAUUCAAUCUAGAAAAUUCACGGCCUGAUUAAUGGAGUAAACAAC